RNAcentral lists this ribosomal RNA (497 nucleotides) under uncultured bacterium. Its description in RNAcentral is "partial 16S ribosomal RNA". It matches the Rfam family "Bacterial small subunit ribosomal RNA", at positions 28 to 507 of the family's 1533-position model. The record is from RNAcentral.
GAUGAACGCUGGCGGCGUGCCUAAUACAUGCAAGUCGAGCGAACGGACGAGAAGCUUGCUUUUCUGAUGUUAGCGGCGGACGGGUGAGUAACACGUGGAUAACCUACCUAUAAGACUGGGAUAACUUCGGGAAACCGGAGCUAAUACCGGAUAAUAUUUUGAACCGCAUGGUUCAAAAGUGAAAGACGGUCUUGCUGUCACUUAUAGAUGGAUCCGCGCUGCAUUAGCUAGUUGGUAAGGUAACGGCUUACCAAGGCAACGAUGCAUAGCCGACCUGAGAGGGUGAUCGGCCACACUGGAACUGAGACACGGUCCAGACUCCUACGGGAGGCAGCAGUAGGGAAUCUUCCGCAGUGGGCGAAAGCCUGACGGAGCAACGCCGCGUGAGUGAUGAAGGUCUUCGGAUCGUAAAACUCUGUUAUUAGGGAAGAACAUAUGUGUAAGGAACUGUGCACAUCUUGACGGUACCUAAUCAGAAAGCCACGGCUAACUACGUG